GCGCGCUCGCCUAGGACGACGCGAAGACGGCAGACGGUGGCGAAGCUUUGGCUUGACGACGGCGCGGUGCUGCGGCGAGCAAAAAGAAGAUACAAGCGCGUCAGAAGAUGUGCAAGGACGAGGGAAAGCAAACGGGCUAGAAAAGGUGGGCCCCACCUGUCAGUGGCAGCGGGCGCGCGCGCGGCGCGGGGCCGGUCCGGUUCGGGUUGGCUCGGCGAUGCGGGGCCGGUUCGGUUUUUCCCUUUUUUUUUCUUUUAGCCUUUUCUUUUCUCUAUUUUUCUUAUUUCUUUGAUAACUUUUGAUUUUGAACUCCAAAUUGGUCCAAAUAAAUUCCAGAAAAUUUGUAAAAUCAUGUUUUAUCAUGAUACAACUUUUGAGAGUAAUUUCCCCUCAAAAUAAAAUAUAUAAAAAUACAUUUGCCCUAUAAAUGCCUUUAGGGCUAUAUCACUAUUUAAAUAAAAUACUUUUUCAACUCCAAAUAAUUAUCCAAAAAUUAUGGGAUAGCUUAUUUAAGCACUAAACCCUUUUAUAAACAAAACCUAUUAGUUUGAAGAUCCAAAGCUCAAAUGGGUGUAAACCCUAGGGUUUAAAUUGAAAUAAAGUCUUUUCAAAGCCUUUUAAGAUUCGAAUUUGAAUUCAAAUAUUCAAUUGUGGCAUGAUGCUUAUGGAUGCAAUGCAUAUGAAAAGAUUUGAAAUUUUGGGAUGUUACAGACCUAACCCCCUUAAGAUGAAUCUCGUCCUUGAGAUUCGGUGUGGCUAGCAAAGAGGUGUGGGUGGUCUUCUCGAAGAUCAUCUUCGCGUUCCCAAGUGCUCUUCAGUGUGAUGGUCCCACUGAACUUUGCAAAACCUGAUGGUCUUGCAUCGGGUUUGUCUCUCAGUAGUAUCCAAGAUUCUGAUAGGUUUCUCCUCAUAGCUCUGCAGUUGGACUUCGUCAAGGGGUAUCGUAU
RNAcentral lists this long non-coding RNA (947 nucleotides) under Brachypodium distachyon (stiff brome). RNAcentral describes it as "long non-coding RNA (BDIS_LNC002109)". The record is from RNAcentral. Lineage: Eukaryota; Viridiplantae; Streptophyta; Magnoliopsida; Poales; Poaceae.